Long non-coding RNA from Etheostoma spectabile (orangethroat darter), 445 nucleotides. RefSeq lists it as uncharacterized. The record is from RefSeq and is a predicted model, not a curated record. NCBI's taxonomy places the organism in Eukaryota, Metazoa, Chordata, Actinopteri, Perciformes, Percidae. The transcript is spliced from 3 exons.
UAGACCAAUUUCCUCAUACUAGCUCAGCAGAAUCUGUACAUCUUAUGUGCAGGCGUACCAAAUGAAGGAGCGCUUGGAGUCAGGGAUGAAGGUGUCGGGGAUCCAGAGCAGGGACACGAGGCGUCCAUCCACGCUGACACUCUCAUUUCCCGGGAACACCAGCCUGGAGUCCCGCCAGCGCUGACGAAGGAAGAUGGUGGCAGUGUAGUCCUAAAAAGCUGUUCCCAUCACACUGAAAAGCUCCCAACCUCAGCGAAGCAUUUCCAUUAAAUUCCAUGUAUUAUUUAUGCAGCUCUGCCAAUGUGAUUAAUGACGCAUACAAACACUUUUUAUUUCCUCUUUCUAAUGGCCAUGAUGAAAGUUAAAGAACCAAAGAAUGCCAUUGGGUUUUUUUCAACACAUGCCAGUUGAUGAUUCAUUUACGUUGUGUUUCACAAGUUAUCUU